CGCAGCGUGACUUGACAAGGAAUCUAUGCUGGUCUGUUUAGGUUAAGGCAGGAGUUAACUUUUUUGUCUAGUUUUUUUCUCCCUAUCAUUACUCCACGGACAUCUCAGACUCCUAAUGUCCACAUUUUGUGUUCUCUGAUUUUGCCGUGCGUCUGUGAGAACAUUGUGCCAUCUCGUUUUCACCAAGUGGAUCUAAGAAAGUUGCACUCUGAUGGUGUUUAUUGAAGUACUGAAAACAGCAAUGCAAGUGUCAAUAAGGGUGGUCCUGUAGGAAGUUCAUCCUGGGUGCUAUGCAAGCUGGAACCACAGCUAGUGGUCUGUGAGCUGCAGACAUUUUAACUGACAUUCAAAUCAGUACAUGUAGUAUAUUGAUUUGACUGUAGUCCUGUCUCUCAUGGCCCACUGCCACACUCUCUUGCCUGGAUUUUCCUGGUAAAAAGGUGUCAGUUAUGCCGGUAAUUCCAAAUGAAAUCUAUCGAUCAGUUCAGGCUAUAAAACCAUGCUUGUUCGGUAUCAAUCUAAUAUGUGAUUACACUGAUCCAGUUUCUUGUUGAACUCUGAACUGAACUAACUAACUUAUAUUAGUUUGUUGUUGAAUUAACCUUAAUCAUUGUCCAAAAUCACUAUUGGGUUUGUAUUCUUAAAUAUCUGGAGCAUCCUACUAUGUCCCUCUUUUUAAAUCUACAAAGAACUUGUUAUUGCUAAGGUGUGUGCUUUCCAGAUGCUGCACAAACAGUUGGACCAGAUGGACUGGAAGAUUGAGAUAUUGUUUGGACAAGCAGCACAGAAUGACACUAGGAGCAUCAGCACUGCCUCCUUCAGCACCUUGGACCCCUACUCAGGGCGGUGUUCUUUUUAUUAGUGAUUUUACUGUUAAACUUCGAAAAGUUAUGGCCUUUUCAUGGUAAUGCUGUGGUCUCAUGUUUCCCAGGUGCCUGUGUUCUGGAUUUGGUUGUGCAGAUCCUCUUAGCGCCUGACAACAUCAUUUGCACUGAGGUCCUAAAUCAACACUACUGCGUGCUUUGGGACAGCGAAGAGGGACCCACAGCUGACUUCACUUUCCACAACUGCCACCAGGAAUGGUGUAAGGACACAAUAGAUAAC
Molecule: long non-coding RNA, 1104 nt
Organism: Astyanax mexicanus (Mexican tetra)
Lineage: Eukaryota; Metazoa; Chordata; Actinopteri; Characiformes; Acestrorhamphidae
Exons: 3
Source: RefSeq, a predicted model, not a curated record